RNAcentral lists this long non-coding RNA (787 nucleotides) under Oryctolagus cuniculus (rabbit). Its description in RNAcentral is "lncRNA (ENSOCUG00000035500.1)". The record is from RNAcentral. Lineage: Eukaryota; Metazoa; Chordata; Mammalia; Lagomorpha; Leporidae.
AUGAACCACGCAUUCCCAUUCAGGACACGUGCAGUGCUAGAAGUGACAGGGAUUUACUGCUGUCCAAGCAGAAAUGAUGGUGAUAGGUUCAAACCCCUAAAUGCUUGCUCCACAGAACUAGCCGAGGUAAUGUAUUUUCUCCUCAGAGGCCUACUCCCCGGUGGCUUGCCCUUAAUCACAGUCACCAGACUCAAAGGAAACAAAGCCCGGAGGUUGGCUCUUUCUCAGCCAUGCUGGAGCCCAUCCAGGACAGCAAUUCCUUUCCUCGCCACUACUUCACUGCUGCAGGAAUGCAGCAAAUGCUGCAGAAUUGCAAAUGGGCGGAUCCCUGGAUUCCUUCAGUAGAGCUGUCAAGCUCCUGCAGGAUUUGUAACGUUAGUGGUUGAAUUUUUUGUUUGGGGCCAGCGCUGUGGUGUAGCAGAUUAUAGCCCUGGCCUACAGCGCCGACAUCCCAUGUAGGCACCGGUUUGAGUCCUGGCUGUUCCACUUCUGAUCCAGCUCCCUGCUAAUGCUCCUGGGAAAGAAGCGGAGGAUGGCCCAAGUCCUUGGGCCCCUGCACCUACUUGGUAUACCUGGAAGAAGCUCCUGGAUCCUGGCUUCAGAUCAGCCCAUCUCUGGCCAUUGCGGCCAUUUGAGAAGUGAACCAGUGCAUGGAAACCCUUCCUCUCUCUCCCUCUCUCUCUCUCUCUCUUUCCCUCUCUCUCUCUCUCUCUUUCUCUCUCUCUCUCUCUGUCUGUAACUCUACCUCUCAAAUAAAUAAAAUCUUUAAACAAUAAAAAAAUAAUAU